GAUGAACGCUGGCGGCGUGCCUAAUACAUGCGAGUCGAGCGAACAGAUGAGGAGCUUGCUCCUCUGACGUUAGCGGCGGACGGGUGAGUAACACGUGGAUAACCUACCUAUAAGACUGGGAUAACUUCGGGAAAACGGAGAUAAUACCGGAUAAUAUAUUGAACCGCAUGGAUCAAUAGUGAAAGACGGUUUUGCUGUCACUUUUAGAUGGAUCCGGGCCGGAUUAGCUAGUUGGUAAGGUAACGGCUUACCAAGGCAACGAUGCGUAGCCGACCUGAGAGGGUGAUCGGCCACACUGGAACUGAGACACGGUCCAGACUCCUACGGGAGGCAGCAGUAGGGAAUCUUCCGCAAUGGGCGAAAGCCUGACGGAGCAACGCCGCGUGAGUGAUGAAGGUCUUCGGAUCGUAAAACUCUGUUAUUAGGGAAGAACAAAUGUGUAAGUAACUAUGCACGUCUUGACGGUACCUAAUCAGAAAGCCACGGCUAACUACGUG
Molecule: ribosomal RNA, 497 nt
Filed under: uncultured bacterium
Lineage: Bacteria
Description: partial 16S ribosomal RNA
Rfam family: Bacterial small subunit ribosomal RNA
Source: RNAcentral